AACCUGGUUGAUCCUGCCAGUAGUCAUACGCUCGUCUCAAAGAUUAAGCCAUGCAUGUCUAAGUAUAAAUACUUUUACUUUGAAACUGCGAACGGCUCAUUAUAUCAGUUAUAGUUUAUUUGAUAGUCCCUUACUACUUGGAUAACCGUAGUAAUUCUAGAGCUAAUACAUGCAUCAAUACCCAACUGUUCGCGGACGGGUAGUAUUUAUUAGAUAGAAACCAACCCUCUUCGGAGGCGCUCAGGUGAUUCAUGAUAACUCUGCGAAUCGCAUGGCCUCGUGCCGGCGAUGGAUCAUUCAAGUUUCUGCCCUAUCAGCU
This 319-nucleotide ribosomal RNA is filed under the name uncultured marine eukaryote. RNAcentral's name for it is "SSU rRNA". It matches the Rfam family "Eukaryotic small subunit ribosomal RNA", at positions 1 to 320 of the family's 1831-position model. The record is from RNAcentral.